This 406-nucleotide ribosomal RNA is filed under the name uncultured bacterium. RNAcentral's name for it is "bacterial SSU rRNA". It matches the Rfam family "Bacterial small subunit ribosomal RNA", at positions 355 to 775 of the family's 1533-position model. The record is from RNAcentral.
UGGGGAAUAUUGGGCAAUGGGCGCAAGCCUGACCCAGCAACGCCGCGUGAGGGAAGAAGGCCUUCGGGUUGUAAACCUCUGUCCUUGGGGACGAAAAAAAUGACGGUACCCAAGGAGGAAGCUCCGGCUAACUACGUGCCAGCAGCCGCGGUAAUACGUAGGGAGCGAGCGUUGUCCGGAAUUACUGGGCGUAAAGGGUGCGUAGGCGGCUUGGCAAGUCAGAUGUGAAAUCCCCGGGCUUAACUCGGGUGCUGCAUUUGAAACUGCUGGGCUUGAGUGCAGGAGAGGAAAGCGGAAUUCCUAGUGUAGCGGUGGAAUGCGUAGAUAUUAGGAGGAACACCAGUGGCGAAGGCGGCUUUCUGGACUGUAACUGACGCUGAGGCACGAAAGCGUGGGGAGCAAACAG